CAUCGCAAUAUAUUUAGUAGAUCAGCGAGGCAUUCCAUAUUUUUGAGCAAGUAAAGAACUUUAUUUCCACUUUGGAUUAAUCAAAUUUUAGGUAAUUAAAAGAAAUCUAUCAUUCCCUUUUCUAUAAAGUUGCAACAUGGACAGAAUGUGGAUGUGAAAGUUUUUGCUAGACUAGAAUGUAUUUACUUCAAUCACCUGAUUAGCUUCUUACGUGGACGAAACCCUCUGGUAUUGAUGAAUAUAAAAGAAUUAAAUGUGACUGAGGUUUUGAAAAUUAAAAAAUCUUUUUAAAUGAGUAUUGAUUGUUCCUAUAUAUGCAAUUACUAGAAGCUGGAUUGUGGAGUAUAAUGCCAUUACUAGAAGCUUAUUGGCAUAUGGAAAAAACUAGAGAGUAUUUAUGCUUCUAGACCCAUGACUAAUCGUUUUCUUUUGAAGUUAGAUUUGUACUCUUGAGGAUGGAUGAAGGAAUGGGUAUACACAAGAGUUAAAAGGUUGACAACACAAGUAGUCAAUAUUAGAAAAAACAAAAUUGGGGAAAAAGAGCGAAACCUCAUUCUACAAGCCAUUGGUGCAAACAAUACUAGUUAAAAGGAUAACUUUAGGUUUAAUCUUACUAGAUAGAAUAAAAGGUUUUGAAAGGUAACGAGGCAUUGGUGAUGGAAGGUAAUCUAGGAAAUAAAAUUAUGAUUGUCAUGGGAGGAACAUGGCAUAAAGAGGUAGAUUUGGUAUAAAAAACUCUAUUUGAGAUUCUAGAUCUAGAGUGGAAUACAAUAUUAAUAUUUUUAUUGUCAUUGCAAAAUACUAGUUAAAAGGAUAACUUUAGGUUUAAAUGAUACAACUAUAAUUUUAUUGGAGAAUGAUAGGUUUUGAAAAUAGAAAACAAUGUCAAAAGGUAACGAGGCAUUGGUUAUGGGAGGUGGUCCUGUAAUUUACCAUGAAAGAUGGGAGCAAAGUGUUGAAUAUUAAACUCAAUCCAGAAGCUCCCAGAAGGUCAAGGAAGACAACCAGCCACCAGCCACCAGUCGCCGACCAGCCGCCAGCCGCCUUCACACUUGAAGGUUGAAUUUUCUAGUUUUUGAUUUCGUGUAUAAAUAGAGUGCCUAGCUUCUGUUAAUGUGUGUGGAGAGAAUUGAGAGCAAACACUAGAAAGAGAAAUAGAGAGAGAGAGGGCAUGUACUGUUAAGCUUUUGUUAAUUAAUUGUAAGCUUGUGUUUUUGUAACAAAACUUUGUGUUUUAUCCCCUCUGAGUGUUUCAAAGUCACCACCAGUGGUUUCUCCCAUGCACCAACAAUUAGUAUCAGAGCCCCGUUCGUCAGAAAACAGAAGUGUUUUGGGGUACAUCCGAAUUUUCAAAGUUGUCAAAAACAAGUUUUGAUCAUUCCACAGUGAAGAGCUCAUCAAUACGAACUCACUGUCGCAAGAAUCAGCCUUAUCGGAGUCCGCGGUGAUCCACACGCGCCGCCUGAAGAUCCGGUGACUGUAUCCCAUGCGCAUCCACGCGCGCCAUAUUUGAGCCGCGCCGAGCCCGAGCCGCGCCGCAAGCCGAGCCGUCCUCCGCACCGAGAGAAUAUUCCCCAAAAUAUUCCCCGAAUAUUCCUGGUUCAACCUAGCGAACCGCCCGCCGUACAGAAUUGGUUUUUUGACCGGUUCACCCAUUUUCUGACCCGAAUUCAACAAAGUCAGACCGGUUCCCUGCUAUUUGGAUCAUUCCAGAUCGAUCUACAAUGUCCGUUUGGCCAAAUUCGGCUCCUAGAAAGGUGAUAUAAUCAUUCAAAGAGCAAAAUGACUACAGAAGAUACACAUACACUCAUUCCAAAGCUGACCAAAGACAACUAUGAUAGUUGGUGCAUCAGAUUGAAGGCAUUCCUUGGGUCACAAGAGUGUUUGGAUAUUGUACAAACUGGUUAUGAUGAAUCAGAGUCCAAAGAAAGAGAAGAUGUUUUAUAAGAGGCACAAAAGCAAGCUCUUAAAGUCAACAGAAAGAAAGACAACAAAGCAAAGACCAUCAUCUAUCAGGGUCUUGAUGAAGACACAUUCGAGAUCAUAGCUUCCGCUGAAACAUCACAUGAUAUAUGGAGGCUCUCCAACAGAAAUACAAAGGUGCUGACAGAAUUAAAAAAAUUCGUCUUCAAUCUUUGCGAGGUGAAUUUGAGUUAUUGCAAAUGAAGUCCUCGGAGUCUAUUUCUGAUUAUCGCACAAGGAUUAUGGUGAUAGUCAACCAGAUGAGGAGAAAUGGAGAAGCCAUCGUCGAUUCUCGAAUUACUGAGAAAAUUUUGAGAUCGCUAGAUCCAAAAUUCGAUUUUGUUGUUGUCGCAAUUGAAGAAUCUAAAGAAGUGGACAAGUUGACAGUUGAUGAACUUAUGAGUUCUUUGCAAGCUCAUGAGCAGAAAAUUGUAAAGGGAAAUGGAGAUAAGGCAAUUGAGCAUGCCUUACAAGCAAAGCUGUCUCUCAAGGACAAAUAUGAGCAAGGGGAGACUUCAACAAAUGGAUAUACCACUCAAGCAGGAAGUCAACAAUCCAGAGGAGGAUUCCAGAGAUUCCAAGGAAGAGGUUCUUGGAAUACAAGCUUUAGAGGAAGAGGUGGCAGAAACAUCAUUAGAGGAGAUCGAGGACAACAAGCAUUCAAUCCUAGAGGAAGAGGGGGCGAUUACAAUAACCAUGACAAGAGGAAUAUCCAAUGUUAUAGUUGCAAUCAAUUUGGGCACUAUAGCACUGAAUGCAGAAGGAAAGCUCUAUUGGAGAUACGUGAGCAAGCCAACUAUGCAGAGAAGGAUGACAGAGAAGAAGCUGCAUUUCUUGUCCAACAAGAACAAAAUUAAGAUAAGGAAAUGAAAUAUUAUAGUUUUACAAUAAUAUAAUUGUUUUUUGCAUUAUACUUACCUAAUUACAAUGUGGUUUUCCCACACAUUUCUUACAACCCCCUCAUUUUCCUUGUCCUGGUAAUUUUUUUUCCUUGUAGUCAAACAUUAGUUAUUUUUAAAAAAAUUUUAAAAACUAUAUAUUAACUCAAUGUAUAUAUUAUUUAUUUAACCAUUAACUUUUCCCAAAAACAUCUACUAUAAUCAUACAUUUAGAAUGAUCUUAAAGUUGACUCUAUUAAAACAAUGGUUUUUCAAAAACAAAUUUAAGAUUAAUUGUAUUAAAGAGAAAAACUAUAAAAAAAAAACACAAAAAGUGUACCUAAGAUGUACAUCAUCUUGUAACCCAAAUCAAAUUGACCUUAGACAAUAGGGAAAAAAACAAAAGCUAAAAAAAAUUAAAAAUUUCUGAAAACAAGACUGCUUGAAUAAUAGCAUAGAAAAUCAAUUCAUCAAAAUCAUUUAAUGUAAAACUUAAAAUAAUCUAUUACAAAUAAAUAACUUCAAUGGUAAGAGAAAAAACAUGACUUACAUUGUGUCGUUGGCUUUUUAUGUUGCAAUAAGUUUUCUUGAUACAGGGUCUCUAGAAGAAGGGAUUCUACCUUUUUUGUUUGUGAAAUUCAUUGUUGUAAAUGAGAUCAUUGCAUAAUUAGUUGGCAUCAAAGGACAUAAUAAUCUCUCUCUUUGUAUGAUUAAUAGAAAUGAUACUGUGAAUCUGUAAAUUAUGCCAAAAACGCUUUAUUCUGUUUCUAAAGGACUCGAGGCUAUUGCUCUAAGAGUUGAAGUGCCUAUGUUCAAAAUCAUUUUAAAAUUACCUGCAUUAUUGCAUUUUUGUUCCACUAGAAAUUGUUUCUGAUGUUUUUGACAUCUACAAAUACUGCAAGGUCCUAUCCUGGUACUACUACAUCUGCUUGGUGUGGCCUUGUUAAGUUAACUGGGUAUUUGCAUAAUGUUUCCAGGCUGAUGCUUUUGAAAGCCAGCGUGGACAAUGCAUUGAUAUCACCUGGAAAGUGAUAAUUUAUUUAAAUAAAACAGACUUUACCAAGGUGAUGGAAACAAUGCUAUACUGCCCUGACAAAUAAAUGUAUAAAUGACAUGCGAGAGUUAAACUGGUUUUGCUUACACCAUUGUGCAUAGAACUGCUUAUUUCCUUUUCUGAAGAAUGUUCUUUGUACGCUUAAUUGAACUAGUCUCUUUAAGUGUUCAAUGGUUCUCACCAACCAUUUGUCAAAGAAAUAAAGAAGUCUGUUAAUUUUAUUGGUUUGCCAUUCCAACAGGGGCUGGAUCCCCUUUAAAUUGUGCAUGCAACUUGUUAGCAAACCUCUUAUUUUGGUAGGCAGAGUUUAUCCGUGUUGUGACUUCAGAUAAUAACAAUGACUGAUUUGGUCAAUCUCUCAAAAAGUUUUCUGUAUUCCCGAGAGUAAUAAUCCUAAUCAUCAUUUUAGGUUAGUUGACAGAAUAUCUUUCUUGGUUAUUUCUUAGUUCAUAUGAACCAAACCUGCCUCAUUCCUCCCCUCAUGCGAGGUAGUUAAGUAGUGUAUGAGCCCUAGUACUGGUUUCAAGAUAUGACUUAUCACUGUGUAUAUGUCUGUAGUUAGUUUAGCUGAGAGUUCAAACAAGUGUUUAUGGUGUUAAACGUUUUUCAAUCAUAAAUUGUUUUGCAGAUAUAAUUGAUGAAUUGGUGAAGAAUGGGAAAGAGAUAAGGCUGUAUAUUUUGCUUCUGAAUCUGGUUUGACGAAAAGAUUUUCUCCUGUAUCUCUACUCAAGUCAUAUCUUAAGAAUUCCAAGAAGAUCACAACUACUGUCUUGAAGAAUGGCAAUUAUAGUGUAGCUGCAACGGUGUGUCUAAUCUCUAUCUACAUUGUGUAAUUCUAAUGACAUGAAAUAUUUGAGUCUUAUUAAUUUUUUUGCAGGAUGAGUCAAGUACCUUGGAGUUGAAUUCUAUUAAAGCAAUCAUCAAAUGUGUGGAAGAUCAUAAGCUUGAAUCAGAAUUUUCCCUUGACAGCUUGAGAAAACGGGCUUCUCUGCUUGAAAAAACCAAAGCAGAGAGGAAGAGGGGUACAUCAUCAGCUGCCACUGCUACCAAGUCUCAAAACAAGCGAGGCCAUGGUUCAAGUGGUGGCCGGGACAGUGGACCUACUCCUUAUCGUCAAGCCAAAGCUGCCAAAUUUUCAAACAAUUAUUCCUCUUUCAGCCGCAGGAAUGCUCCUCUCCCUGCACAGCAUAGCCCGGCUAGAAGAUAUUCAGGGCCAUUCCACUACCCUAGCCAGAGUGUCUACGAGGGCCCCGCAGCAGCCCCGUAUGCAUCAACUUAUGGUAUCUCGCACGCUCAAAGCCCUUCUGCAAUCUCUCAACAACCCUACCAUCACUCUCAAAGCCCCAGUGCAAUUCCUCAACAACUCUACUCACAGCCAGCGGAGAACAUGAGUGCUGCCGGUUUCCGUGCCAGUGGUUCUUAUGGAAGCCAGACCGGGUUACGGGGCAUAUGAUUACGGCUCUGCUGCACCCGUUACUUACCAACCUUCAUCCUACACUCAAUAAGAUGGGAGGAACCUAGCCAGGUGUUAAGAUUCUUAUUUUUAUUUGGUGUCUGAUUUCUGGAUGUGGCCCUCUAAUUUUGGGACCCGCCCCCUUCAUCUCCCUUUCCCGUAUAAAAGUUUUUUUUUGGUCUUAUCUCAUGACUGGAUAUGAUGCCCAUGCCUGUAACGCUGAUUACCUUUAUAUGGAGCUCAAGCUGGAUGUGAUUUCCGUGCUGUGAGUUUUAAAUGGUUUGGCUAUCGAGCAUUGUGAUUACUCUCAUGAUUGGAGUCGCCAUUGGGCGCCUAUGCUUGUUUUUUUGCUAAAUUUUGGCAUGCCUAAUAGACUAAUUUGUUAAAUCACAACAAUUUAGUAAUCAUGCUAAAAAUCCAAUUUAGUAAGAACAUGGCUAUGAUGGGUAACAAUUAGCUAGCCCUUGUAAUUGAUAGACGUCAUUCUUUUGGCCACGAGAGGUCUGAAAAUAACUCACAAACAUUCAGACCAAUGGAGAAGCUUGUAUUACAUGUUCUAUAAAAUGGUUAUUCAUCAUCUAAUUCUUUAUAUAAACAAAUAACUACACAUGAAUAGAACAAUAAUGUUCCCUUAUAGUUUAUAAUAUUGCCACCUUUGUGAGUAUCAUUACCUUUGUGAAUAUCAUUUUGCCUCUACCAUCACAACCUCACAGUUAAUUUUUUUUUUCAUCAUUCAAUUUUUUUUUAAAAUUAGUCUUAUAAUUUGUUUUUUCAAUUCAGCUAUCCCCGAUUUCAUUACCAGAACUACAUGUUUGAUGAAUUUUUUUUGGGUCGCUGUUUUUUUAUUUAAAAUUUUAUUAGUUUCAUCCUUGAACAUUUGGUUCCUUUAGAAUUGAUUAUUGUAAUCAUUCUAAAGACAUGCAUAAAUUGUUUUAAGGCCUUAAAGUGCAUCUUCAUUCAUCUCAGAAACUGAAAAAAUAAAAAAAAAUCAAAUAAAAGAAACCUAAUUAUUUUUCCUGGCCUUGAUCUCUUUUUCUUUGUCCUUCUAGGGUGGUGUAAUCACCAUCAACAAAAUGGCCUUUUAAGGAAGAAGGGGACACUGGACACCAUUAUAGCAGGUUGCAAUGUCAGGAUCUAGAGGAAAGUUUCUCUCCUCGCCUAUCUCUCCUCGGUCCUGUCUCCGAUCUUUACAUACAGGGACUGAAUUUUAAAAAUAGUGUGUUUGUUUUUUAAAUAGGUUUUGUGGUUUUGAUUUUAAAAAAAUAAAUUUAAAAAAAGUGUGGUUAACUAUGAUUAGUUAAAUUUAAAUACGUGUUUAGUAAAAAUUAUAGUUGAAGUUUAUGUGUAACAAAAAUAAUGUAUAAAAUAUUUGGUGGAAGUAUAGUUGCCGUUGUUUUUUAAAGUGUUUUUUACUUGGAAAUGUAUCAAAAUAAUUUUUUUAAAAAAAUUAUUUUUGAUAUCAGCAUUGAUUUGAAAACAAAAAAAAUAUAUCAAUUUGAAGCAAAGAAAAAAAUAAAAAAAUUUAUUUUUUUCAAAAGCGCUUUUGAAACAUAAAAAUAAAUAGGGUUUUAUGAAACUCAAUUAAAAAAUCAUGUAAAAACUACUACAUAAAAAUUACGUUUCAAACUCAACUUUUUAGUAAGUCCCGCAUUACAAACCAAAGUUUAGUUUGUUAAUUACCAAACACUUUGCCAUGUUUGUUUCACCACAAACAAAAAACCAGUGAAGAAAUCCUAAAUAUCUAAAUAAUUUAUACAUGUUUUUUACUACACAUAACCUUUAACUAUAAUUUUUAUUAAACACAUAUUUAAAUUCAAUUAAUUACAAUUGACUCUAUUUAAAAAAAAAAACUUAUUUUUUUAAAUUAAAAUCUCAAAAACUAUCUAAAAAAUAAAGAAACGAGUGAGGAUGUUGAUGAUGCCAAGCAAGUCAGUGUAAAGUGGAAAUCUUGACAAGAUGUUGUAGCCUUCAUAAAAAGUACAAUGCAGUACAAAACGAGAGGUGAAUGUUUGAGAUUGUUAUAAUUUUUAAUUUUAUAUGAUUUUUAAAAGUAUAUUUUAUUUUAAAAAUAUAUUAAAUUAAUAUUUUUUUAAUAAUUUUUUCUAAAACAUAUUUUUCUAAAACAUAUUUUUAAAAAUAAUUUCCAUCACAACACUAAAAACAUAUAAAUAUUUAUCAUAGUAACAAGAAGUGAUAAUAUUUGAUGUAAAAACGGCUGAAUGUAUAUGUCAUGUUUCGAGAAGCGUCCAUGAUUAUAUCAUUAUGAUCCCAAAAAGAAAAAUAUUAAAUAUUAGGCUACAAUUAUUUAUAUACAGUUUUAAAACCUGGACCGGCCCGGCAGGUCAACUCGGGCCGAGACCGGUCCAGGUAGAGGCAAAAAUCUACUUGGAAAUUGACUCGGUAAAACCCGGUCGAUCUGCCGGGUUGACCCCGUGACCUGGACCACCCGGUCAAACCCGGCUGACACAUGAUCUCUCUUUCUCUCUUUCUCUAUAUAUAUAUAUAGACGUUAAACGACGUCGUUUUGGCCUUAAAAGGCCAAAACGAUGAACAAUGACGAAGCAGAAUUGGGGACACAUUGAUUACAGAGCAAACCCAAUUAACGAAAGAUUCCAUCACAGCCAAUGCAACUACAGUCUGGUCUAUAAGCUUUUGGCUUUCUUCUUUGCUCUUGCCAAUUAGGAUUUUUGCGUUUCGAGUGAUCGAUUUGCCCAUCAAAGUUGAAGUGAAGGGAGUGAGUUGGUUACAGAGAGAACUCCAUUCUAGGAUUUUAAGGGUUUUGAGUUGGAGUGAGCGAGCUGGAGGAGUGAGUUUCGGUGAGUGUGAAUCAAAGGGUUUUGUUAGGGCUUUGGUGGAGAAGGGUGGUUUGGUGGUGAAGAAGAGAAUCGGGGAUUUUUUAAUGGCUAUUAAAUGAUUGGAGAGUUUGAUUAAUGAAGGAUUUUUGAGGGAGAGAAGGAAAGGGAUGGGCUGUUUGACAACAACUUAUCCUUUUUAUUUUCAGCUUAUCUUUUAUUUUAGGUUGACUUGUUUUUAGGUUGACUCGUGUCAAUCAAUCUAACUCGUGAUUCGAUCACUUGACUAGAUUGAUAUCCGGAUCGAUUUUUAAAAUUAUGAUUUCUAUAAUUAGGUUACAUUUCGUUAUAGUCAUGUAUUUGAAAAAAUAUUUAGUUAAUAAAUAUAUAUAUAUAUAUAUAUAUAUAUAUAUGUUUUACUAAAAAUUAUUUUAAAAUUUUAAUUAAAAUAUAAUAUAUUUUAUAACUUUUUUUAAAAUGUAUUUUUUAAAAUCACAUAUCUAUCACAAAGAAAGAUCUUUUCAUACAUCCCAACUUUAGGCUAGAAGAUAUUCAGGGCCAUUCCACUACCCUAGCCAGAGUGUCUACGAGGGCCCCGCAGCAGCCCCGUAUGCAUCAACUUAUGGUAUCUCGCACGCUCAAAGCCCUUCUGCAAUCUCUCAACAACCCUACCAUCACUCUCAAAGCCCCAGUGCAAUUCCUCAACAACUCACUCACAGCCAGCGGAGACAUGAGUGCUGCCGGUUUCCGUGCCAGUGGUUCUUAUGGAAGCCAGACCGGUUACGGGGCAUAUGAUUACGGCUCUGCUGCACCCGUUACUUACCAACCUUCAUCCUACACUCAAUAAGAUGGGAGGAACCUAGCCAGGUGUUAAGAUUCUUAUUUUAUUUGGUGUCUGAUUUCUGGAUGUGGCCCUCUAAUUUUGGGACCCGCCCCCUUCAUCUCCCUUUCCCGUAUAAAAGUUUUUUUUUGGUCUUAUCUCAUGACUGGAUAUGAUGCCCAUGCCUGUAACGCUGAUUACCUUUAUAUGGAGCUCAAGCUGGAUGUGAUUUCCGUGCUGUGAGUUUUAAAUGGUUUGGCUAUCGAGCAUUGUGAUUACUCUCAUGAUUGGAGUCGCCAUUGGGCGCCUAUGCUUGUUUUUUUGCUAAAUUUUGGCAUGCCUAAUAGACUAAUUUGUUAAAUCACAACAAUUUAGUAAUCAUGCUAAAAAUCCAAUUUAGUAAGAACAUGGCUAUGAUGGGUAACAAUUAGCUAGCCCUUGUAAUUGAUAGACGUCAUUCUUUUGGCCACGAGAGGUCUGAAAAUAACUCACAAACAUUCAGACCAAUGGAGAAGCUUGUAUUACAUGUUCUAUAAAAUGGUUAUUCAUCAUCUAAUUCUUUAUAUAAACAAAUAACUACACAUGAAUAGAACAAUAAUGUUCCCUUAUAGUUUAUAAUAUUGCCACCUUUGUGAGUAUCAUUACCUUUGUGAAUAUCAUUUUGCCUCUACCAUCACAACCUCACAGUUAAUUUUUUUUUUCAUCAUUCAAUUUUUUUUUAAAAUUAGUCUUUAUAAUUUUGUUUUUCAAUUCAGCUAUCCCGAUUUCAUUACCAGAACUACAUGUUUGAUGAAUUUUUUUUUGGGUCGCUGUUUUUUUUAUUUAAAAUUUUAUUAGUUUCAUCCUUGAACAUUUGGUUCCUUUAGAAUUGAUUAUUGUAAUCAUUCUAAAGACAUGCAUAAAUUGUUUUAAGGCCUUAAAGUGCAUCUUCAUUCAUCUCAGAAACUGAAAAAAUAAAAAAAAAUCAAAUAAAAGAAACCUAAUUAUUUUUCCUGGCCUUGAUCUCUUUUUCUUUGUCCUUCUAGGGUGGUGUAAUCACCAUCAACAAAAUGGCCUUUUAAGGAAGAAGGGGACACUGGACACCAUUAUAGCAGGUUGCAAUGUCAGGAUCUAGAGGAAAGUUUCUCUCCUCGCCUAUCUCUCCUCGGUCCUGUCUCCGAUCUUUACAUACAGGGACUGAAUUUUAAAAAUAGUGUGUUUGUUUUUUAAAUAGGUUUUGUGGUUUUGAUUUAAAAAAAUAAGUUUAGAAAAAGGUGUGGUUAACUAUGAUUAGUUAAAUUUAAAUACAUGUUUAGUAAAAAUUAUAGUUGAAGUUUAUGUGUAACAAAAAUAAUAUAUAAAAUAUUUGGUGGAAGUGUUGGUUGUUUGUUUUUUACUUGGAAAUACAUCAAAAUAAUUUUUUUUUAAUUAUUUUUUAUAUCAGCAUUGAUUUGAAAACAAAAAAUAUAUCAAUUUGAAGCAAGGAAAAAAAUAAAAAAAUUUAUUUUUUUCAAAAGCGUUUUGAAACGUAAAAAUAAAUAGGGUUUUAUGAACUCAAUUAAAAAAUCAUGUAAAAAUACUACAUAAAAAUUGCGUUUCAAACUCAAUUUUUUAUAAGUCCCGCAUUACAAACCAAGUUUGGUUUGUUAAUUACCAAACACUUUGCCAUGUUUGUUUCACCGCAAACAAAAAACCAGUGAAAAAAUCUAAAUAUCUAAAUAAUUUAUACAUGUUUUUUACUACACAUAAAAUUUAACUAUAAUUUUUAUUAAAUACAUAUUUAAAUUCAAUUAAUUACAAUUGACUCUAUUUAAAAAAAACUUAUUUUUUUAAAUUAAAAUCUCAAAAACUAUCUAAAAAAUAAAGAAACGAGUGAGGAUGUUGAUGAUGCCAAGCAAGUCAGUGUAAAGUGGAAAUCUUGACAAGAUGUUGUAGUCUUCAUAAAAAGUACAAUGCAGUACAAAACGAGAGGUGAAUGUUUGAGAUUGUUAUAAUUUUUAAUUUUAUAUGAUUUUUAAAAGUAUAUUUUAUUUUAAAAAUAUAUUAAAUUAAUAUUUUUUUAAUAAUUUUUUAUAAAACAUAUUUUUAAAAAUAAUUUCCAUCACAACACUAAAAACAUAUAAAUAUUUAUCAUAGUAACAAGAAGUGAUAAUAUUUGAUGUAAAAACGGCUGAAUGUAUAUGUCAUGUUUCGAGAAGCGUCCAUGAUUAUAUCAUUAUGAUCCCAAAAAGAAAAAUAUUAAAUAUUAGGCUACAAUAUUUAUCAUAAUUUUAAAACUCGGACCGGCCCGCAGGUCGACUCGGGUCUGGAACCGGUCCAAGUGGAGGCAAAAAUCCACUUGGAAAUUGACUCGGUGAAACCUGGUCGAUCUGCGGGUCGACCCGUGACCCGGAUCACCCGGUCAAACCCGGCUGACACUUGACUCUCUCUCUUAUAUAUAUAUAUAUAUAUAGACGUUAAAAGACCGUUUUGGCCUUUUAAAAGGCCAAAACGAUUAACAAUGACGAAGCAGAAUUGGGACACAUUGAUUACAGAGCAAACCCAAAUAACGAAAGAUUCCAUCACAGCCAAUGCAACUACAGUCUGGUCUAUAAGCUUUUGGCUUUCUUCUUUGCUCUUGCCAAUUAGGAUUUUUGCGUUUCGAGUGAUCGAUUUGCCCAUCAAAGUUGAAGUGAAGGGAGUGAGUUGGUUACAGAGAGAACUCCAUUCUAGGAUUUUAAGGGUUUUGAGUUGGAGUGAGCGAGCUGGAGGAGUGAGUUUCGGUGAGUGUGAAUCAAAGGGUUUUGUUAGGGCUUUGGUGGAGAAGGGUGGUUUGGUGGUGAAGAAGAGAAUCGGGGAUUUUUUAAUGGAUAAAUGAUUGGAGAGUUUCAUUAAUGAAGGAUUUUUGAGGGAGAGAAGGAAAGGGAUGGCUGUUUGGACUUAUCCUUAUUUCAGCUUAUUUUUUUUUUAGAGUUUAUGCCGUGUCAAUCAUCUGACUCGUGAUCCGAUCACUUGACUAGAUUGAUAUCCGGAUCGGGUUUCAAAACUAUGAUUUCUAUAAUUAGGUUACAUUUCGUUAUAGUCAUGUAUUUGAAAAAUAUUUAGUAUUAUAUAUAUAUAUAUAUAUAUAUAUAUAUGUUUUACUAAAAAUUAUUUUAAAAUUUUAAUUAAAAUAUAAUAUAUUUUAUAACUUUUUUUAAAAUGUAUUUUUUAAAAUCACAUAUCUAUCACAAAGAAAGAUCUUUUCAUACAUCCCAACUUUAGGCUAGAAGAUAUUCAGGGCCAUUCCACUACCCUAGCCAGAGUGUCUACGAGGGCCCCGCAGCAGCCCCGUAUGCAUCAACUUAUGGUAUCUCGCACGCUCAAAGCCCUUCUGCAAUCUCUCAACAACCCUACCAUCACUCUCAAAGCCCCAGUGCAAUUCCUCAACAACUCUACUCACAGCCAGCGGAGAACAUGAGUGCUGCCGGUUUCCGUGCCAGUGGUUCUUAUGGAAGCCAGACCGGUUACGGGGCAUAUGAUUACGGCUCUGCUGCACCCGUUACUUACCAACCUUCAUCCUACACUCAAUAAGAUGGGAGAAACCUAGCCAGAUGUUAAGAUGAAGACAAAGAUCUGGUGCUCGAUUGAUGUUCAAUUUUAUCAAAUUAUGUUUAAAUUAAGUUGAUUUAAAGCAAUUAGGCCUUAAGGAAUCAAAUUUGAUUAUGAAACAAAUAUGGGAGACUGAAAUUAAUGGGUAUAGUUAAAAAGACACAGUAGCUGUGGCAGCGUAUGCAAUCUUUUCUAGCGGCCAACUCACCCUUCCAUGGUAGCGAUCGAUGCAUCUUAGAAUUCUUUUUCUGCAAUGGUAACACAUGUGUCGCCUAAUUUUUGGUUAUUUUUAUUUUAAUUAUUUUAUUUACCGAAAAGGAUAAAAUGAUGAUAAAAAAAAUAAUAAUGAUGAAAAACAAGUAAAAUAAAGAAUAAAUUAAAAUUUAGGUUAAGGACAACAUGAUGGAAAGUUUUGGGGUUUAAUUAAACUUUGGAAUUAAUCUAAUUAAUCCAAUCAAGGGCUUAAUUGGAGAAUUGAUAAGUUUUAAGACUUAAUUGAGCUUGAAAUUAAUUUAAUUAAUCCAAUCAAUGUUUUAAUUGGAGAAUUGAUAAGUUUUUGGACUUAAUUGAGCUUGGAAUUAAUUUAAUGAAUGAAAUCAAGGACGUAAUUGAAGAAAUAUCAAAGUUUGGGGUUAAUUGGGGUACAAUUUGCAAGAAAUGAAAACGCAAGGACCAAUGUGUAAAUUGCAAUGAGAUGCAGGGGUUCAAUUAAAAUUUACCCAACGACUGGACUGCUAAAAUUCAAAAUGACAAGGAUCAAAAUGCAAUUAGCCAUGUCCAUCAACACUAUUCAUCUUUUCCUUCACUCGCCCGAACAAAAACGGAUGCAUCGCCAUUACUCCUGCAAUAACAGUCAAUUUAUUACCUGGUAACGGUGGCAUUCUGUGGCUAUAAAGCCAGAGAGAACAAAGGGGCUAGAGAAGGGGGAACCGAAAAGCCACUGGUGAUCAUAGAACCGAAAAGCCACUGGUGAUCAUAGAACCGUGAGCAGCAGUGGAAGAUCUUCAUCCCCAGCAGCUUCCUCCAUUUCAAGCAGCUCCUCGCCACGGUUAGUCUCCACCCCAACACCAGAUACUCCAAGAUCAGCCACCGUGGGUAGUGUUGCCACCAAUCACCUCACACAGCAUCGUGAACUCCAACAGCAAGGCAACUGUCAGCAGCCUUGCAACAACCAGCAUCUCCCUUCUGCACCGUGAGCUUCAAUCACUCCACCAGCAUCACUAGUUCCAUCGUGACUAGCAUCACCAGCAGCUUAUCUCAGCAAAUCAGUAGCUCAUCACGGUGGCGACUGAUUUUUGAAGAGAGGCUGAAGCGUUCCUCAGCAACUCUUCUAGACAGGGAGGAGAAGAACCCCCAUCUCUUUUGUUCAGACCUCCAUCACCAUCAACCAUCGCCUUUCAUCUUCCAACAAAUAGCGUAAGCAGCAGCACAGGAAGGGAGGACUAGAGAAGACGCAGAACAACAGAAACAGAGGGGGAAACAGUAGCAGUCGGGCAAGCCUCCGUCACCAUCGACAUCGUCUUCGCCUUCACCUCGCAGCUGCGCCACCCCAGCAGCUCUUCCUCACCGUGACAUCCAGCAGUCUUCCCUUGAAGCAGCCGUCUCCCUCAGCCUUGCCAGGUAAGUUCUUCAGCUUUCCUUCUUUUGGUAAAUUAAUUACCUGUUACUGUUGCAUGCAUGCGUGAGUGAUUCACGCAUGCAUGCAACAGUGGCAGCCGGGUCACUGGUUUGGACCAGUGACCCGAACUUUUUUUUUUUUUUUUACCAUGCAACAUCAAUAAACAGAAAAAUAAAAAAAAUAGAAAAAAUAAAAAAUGUGUAUGCAUGAAUAAAAAUAAUGUAAAUUUAUUGGUUUAUUCACUGAAACCAGAGUCAGGAAUAAAAAUACCGGUUUAAAUAUAUAUUAUUUUUAUUCGUUGUAUUUUUAUUUUAUUUAGCUAGAAAAAUAACAAAUAUGUGCAUGAAUAAAAAUAAAUUUAUUUUUAUUUAUUUAUUCACUGGCACUAAAAUAGGGAAUAAAAAAAUAUUGAUUUUUUUUUUCAUAGCUAUGAAUUUUUACCAACGCCAGAGUUGGAAUUAUUCGAGCUCGAAUAUUCACUGGCGUCAGAGUCAGGAAUAUUAUAAAACAAAUCAUCAUAGCAUAAACUAAUAAAUAUUUAGCAAUUUAAGACAUAAACCAGCAAUGCAGUCUGUCUUAGGCAGAACGUUUAAAGGGUGAUAAUAUCUUCCCUUUUAAGUAACUAAUCCCGAGCCAUAGAAUCUCUGUUGACCAGUUAGGGUUCCUAGUAACCAUAAUACUAGGUGACGACUCCUUAAACAAGAUAUUUUCUUUAAAAGAACCGGAUGCCAGAAAUCUGUUCUUUUUCCAUAAUUCAAGAGAAUUAUUUUGAGGGCCGAUGCGAUGUCGGGUGCGACAACAUGUAUUCUUAUUCUUAGUGUUGUGUUGUUGGUGUUAUUUAUUUUAUUUUUUUCCAUAUUUUCCCUCUUUUCUCUUUAAAAUUCAUGAUAGCCAUUUCAAAGUUCAUAGUUGUCUCCUUAUUUUAGUAUUAUUUCAAAUGCAAUCCUUUUUUUAUUACUAAGUUUUUGUUCUAGAUCUUUUUCUAAAAUGUAAAAUUAUUUUCAAUUUUAUCAUUCAAUAAAAAAUUAUAAGUUGUCCUUUCAAUUCAUUUUUAAAAUUUGGUCCAUAUUUUUUUAAUUCCUAUUUUUAGUUUUUGAUCCUAUAGUGAAAUUAAAUUUUCCUUCCAUUUUCAUCAUCUAAUUUGUUUUUAUUUCUAAUUCUAUUCUUAUUCUUUUGGUUUUUUUUUAGAGCCUUUUGUAAAAUUAAAUUUUUUAAAUUAAUUUUUCAGCAUGAGGUUAUUUAAGAAUUGGAUUCCAUGUGUUUUUAUUGAUGGGAUGAUUCAUGACAUGGACCAAGUCAUAUAUUUAAAAAAUUGACCCGGGUUAACAUUGUUCUUUUAUUUAUUGAGUUUUAUUUUUUUUAUACACGUUUUAUUUUUUAUUUUCAUCCUUUAAUUUUUUUUUAAUUGAGCUUUAUGAUUUUUUUUUUAAUUUUCUUUCAAUCAUGUUAUCCUUAUUCAUCUCAGAAACUGAAAAAAAAAAAAAUAAAUGAAACCUAAUUAUUUUUCGUGGCCUUGAUCUCUUUUUCUUUGUCUUUCUAGGGUGCUGUAAUCACCAUCAACAAAGUGGCCUUUUAAGGAAGAAGUGGCUCAAAUUGUUUCUAUAGUUGGGUUACAUUUUAAUAUAGUCAUGUAUUUGAAAAAGUAUUUAGUUAAUUAAUAUUUAUUACAUAUAUAUAUAUAUACACACACAUUACUAAAAAUUAUUUUAAAAUUUUAAUUAAAAUAUAAUAUAAUUUAUAAAUCCCAACUUUCGCAAGAAUAGUAAUCAUGAGUCCUGACAUGUCCUCUUCCUUGUUGAAUUCUACGGGCUUCGAAUGUCAUGUUCAUGCCGAUUUACUAGGGUAUUUCUUUAUGCAUGCAUGCAAAAUAAUAUAAUAAUUAAUUAUUAGUUGAUAGAGGCUGAUAAAUAAAUAAAAAUAUAUAGUUUAUUGAGUUUCCAAAACAAAAUAAUCGCAUCAUGCAUGUGGUCUUCAACCAAAUCUACUACUGUUUGCAAAAAUAGUGUUCAUGUAGAUUAAUAAGGCCAUGUUUGUUUCUCGGAAAGUAGUUUUUAGAAAAUUAUUUUCCAAACUUUCUUGUGUUUGUUUGUCAUUAGAAAAGUUGGUCAACGGAAAACACUUUCCAGUAAAAAAAAAAUUUUAACUUGGUUUUCAGGAAAGUAUUUUCCUUUUAGAUGUGCUUGUUUUCUGGAAAGUGGUUUCCGAGAAAUUACUUUCCAAACUUUCUUGUGUUUGUUUGCCAGUAGAAAAGUUGGUCAAUGAAAAAUACUUUCCAGUAAAAGGAAAAUUUGGCUUGGUUUUCAGAAAAGUGUUUUCCUGAAAAAUUUAAGGGGAAAACACUUUCCGGAAGUUGUGAAAAAUUUAGAAAUGUCAUUAUUUUCUGAUUAUAUCAAAUUUGAUCCUCAAACUUUUGAUUGCUAUAUAUAUUUUGUUUUGAAUAUUUAUUUUUCAAUUUCAUCUCUUAAAAUGUUAUUUUUAUAUUAGCGUUGGUCCUUAUUUUUAUAGUUGCUAUUUGCUUUUUCCUUAUUAUUUUUUUAUUGAAAUUUUUUAUUUAUCAAAUUUGAUCCUCAUUCUUUUUAUUGUUACUUAUUUUAUUUGAAAUAAUUUAUGAAAUGUUGAUUAUUAUUAUUUUAAUUUCUUCAUUUUUUUUUUUUAGAUUUGAUCCCUAUUAUUUUGAUUAUUAUUUAUUUUAUUUGAGAUAAUUUAUGAAAUUAUAUUUUUUUUUUCAAUUUCAUUCUCAUUCAACUUUUUAAUUUGUAAGAUUUGUUCCUCAUUAUUUUAAUAAACUUGAGAAAAAUAAAAUAUUAAUAAGUUAUUUUCUAGCUCAUUUUCCAUGACAUAACCAAACACUGGAAAGUGUUUUCCAACUCAUUUUCCAUUACACUACCAAACAUCGGAAAAUACUUUAUCGGAAUUCACUUUCUCCGGAAUUCACUUUUCAAAAGGAAAACUUUCCAGCAAACAAACGGAGCCUAAGUACUAUUUAUUGAAACAAAGUAAUGAUAUUUUGCUUUUCUUGUAAAAGAAUUUGAACAAGUUAUUUAAGAUAGUUUCACAAGUUUCAUUUGUUAUUAUCGGGUCAAAUUAAUAAGUGUUUUUGCAUUUUAAAAUUAUAGUGAAAUAAUUAAAAUAUUCUUAUAUGUAAAAAAUUAUAAAUUGAUGUCCAAGAACUUUUUAGUAUUUUCACAUUAGUUUUUUCGUUAUUAUUAGGUUAGUUGAAGGAAAAUUUGGUAUUUUAAUAAAUAUAAAAUAUUAUUUAAAAACAAAAAACGGCUAGCCUAUGUAAUGCUUGUGCUAGCGUAUGGGUGGUGCUAGCUCCAUUCGGGUGGCAUCUCUCGACGACCGAACACUAGCUUUUGCCAUGUUAUUAAUUGAAAGCAUUGCAAUAUAAUCUUCCUUUAAGAACGGCACGUUGUGUUAUUGGGGUGGUUAUGUGAUGUUGGUGACCUUUUUUUCUUCUCAUCCCACUUUAGUCUUUCCUCCUUUUAAAAAUCAUGUUGGUCAUGUGAAAUUUUAAAGUUGUCCUUUAAUUUAUUGAGAUGUCAAAUUCAUUAUUAUUUUUUUUGAUAUUUUUUUUUUUGUUCUUGGUUAUUUUGUGAAAUUUUUAGUUAUUUUUAAUUUUAUCCUUCAAUCUCAAUUUGUGAUACAUUAUAUUUUUUUCAAUUUAGUCCUUAUUCUUUUGAUAUUUUUAUUUUUUGAGUCCUUUUAUAAAAUUGAAUUUUCUUUUCAAUUUCAUCCUUCAAUUAAAAAUAAAAUUUAUUUUUUAUUUUAAUUUUAAUUUGCAUUCCUUCAAGUACCCUUUUUUUUAAUCUCUCUGUAUAAUUGAUUUUUCUUUUUUUCAUUUUUAAAUUUUAUCAAAAACGCACGCGAUUCGUUGUUGUCAAACUAUCUAGUGCUAAGAAUUCGAAAGUCAAGUACCCUGCAAUAUGAAAGAACUCUGAAAACACACACCAGAGACAUGCAUGUUCUGCUUUAUAUAUAACCAAAGUCGUUACAAGAAAGAAGAGAAAGUGCUUAUCUAUUUGUUACAAGAGAUACAAAUUACAUGAGAUUUAAAUACAAGAUAAAAUGCCCUCCCGUUUGCAAGCUAUCCAGUUUGAACUGGAUGUGAUCCUAUUCUCUACCCAUAAAAAUAAUACUGAAUUUAAAGGGAUUUGCAGUCAGGACAGACAAUAAUGAUUUUCCAGCUGCAAGCAUCAAUCUAUAGGAAAAACCUAAUUGAUAAUAAUAAAAAAAGGCUUGGAAUGUGAUGAUGGUUAGGAAAAAUCCAGUACGUUCGUGCACCGUGAUUGUCAGCAUGAAUGUAAAUGCUAAACCCAUGCAGAAAAGGGAGUAGAAAUUAAAAUAUGUCGCCAUCUCCAUGCAUAUUGUUACAUAAUUGGUACCACCUAAUGAUAUCUGACAAAGGAUUAUAGCGGCGAUGAGGGAGAGAUUCAUAGCUAGCAUGUCGAAAAAAACAUAAGCUCUCAUCAGAUUUUUUGAACUACCACUGCUAAGAUCACGACCUGAUCCAGGCACAGUGAUAGCACCAGCGAAGGUUACUCCAACUACCAGUACUGCCACCACGAGAAGAUUCCCUACCCCUCUGUUCAGUUGCUCCGUCGUUAACGUCGUUCUUGGUAAAUCAAAGAUAGGACUGAUGCAAGGCUCAGGCAUAUCAUCUGCCUCCUCCAAAACUUUAAAUACCUUACGCUGAACAACAAAGUGUUUAUUAGAAAAUAUAUGGUAAACAAAUUAAUUAUAUAAAGCAUCAUGACAAUGCUAGCUUAAUGUCCCAUAAUAACGAAGAAGGAAUUCAUCGCUAUAUAUUUAGUAGAUCAGCGAGGCAUUCCAUAUUUUUGAGCAAGUAAAGAACUUUAUUUCCACUUUGGAUUAAUCAAAUUUAAGGUAAUUGAAAGAAAUCUAUCAUUCCCUUUUCUAUAAAGUUGCAACAUGGACAGAAUGUGGAUGUGAAAGUUUUUGCUAUACUAGAAUGUAUUUACUUCAAUCACCUGAUUAGCUUCUUACGUGGACCAAAGCAACUAGAAUAUAAUUUGACUUGGAUGCGAAUGGUUCUUUAAAUGGCUAACCAAAACCCUCUGGUAUUGAUGAAUAUAACAGAAUUAAAUGUGACUGAGGUUUUGACAAUUAAAAAAUCUUUUUAAAUGAGUAUUGAUUGUUCCUAUGCAAUUACUAGAAGCUGGAUUGUGGAGUAUAAUGCCAUUACUAGAAGCUUAUUGGCUAUAAGAGAUAAUUAAUGAAGUUAUCUUUAUUGGCAUAUGGAAAAAACUAGAGAGUAUUUAUGC
Molecule: long non-coding RNA, 19411 nt
Filed under: Populus tremula
Lineage: Eukaryota; Viridiplantae; Streptophyta; Magnoliopsida; Malpighiales; Salicaceae
Description: long non-coding RNA (PTRE_LNC001527)
Source: RNAcentral